AAUUUGAUAACCGUGGUACCAUGAUACCACGGUAGAAUUUAUGGUUAUCAAGUUGGUAUUGUCCUGAUUCGGGAACGAAUUUAUAUUACAAUUUCACACUACACGACACGACACGGGAAGUUGUGAACCCGUCUUUAUUCUGAUAAAUAAAAAAAAAAAACAAUAACAAAACCUACUGUUUUGAAUUUGUUAUGAUUGUUAUCUGCCAAAAAUAUAUUUCAAACCUAGUAAAAUUCAAACUCGAAACACAGUAACUACUAGCAACGAUUUUUUUUUAAUUCUAAAAUGUUUAUAUUAAAUAACUAAUUGAAAAAAUAAUUAUGAACUGGGAUCACAAUUAUGCAUUACCAAGACGCAUACUUGACAACGUUGAAGAUAAUUGAGAUCUUGAUUUUAUUCCUAUUACUGUUAAUGAAGUUGAAGAAGUUGUAAAUGUUUUUGAUGACAGUGAUUUUGUUCCAAUUACUGAAGAUCAAGUUGAAGAAGUUGAAGAGGAUUUGGAUGACAGUAACUUUGAUCCUGAUUUAACCCCAAUUACUGAACAUCAAGAUAAUCAACUUAUUGGAGCUGCAAGGAAAAAAAGAAGUUUAGUCCGACAGAUAAGAAAGCAGUACUAAAAGAAAAAAGGGAAUUAAAGAAUGUCAAUGCCAAGACAAAACAUCUAAACCGUUCUUUUACAUGUCAUGUAAAGUGUAAAAAUAAGUGUAGAGACAAUCUAUCCACUAAUCAUCAAAAGUUUUUAUGGAAAACUUAUUGGUCUCUAACAACGUAUGUCCAGAGGAAACAAUUUUUAGCAAAAUGUUUAACAAUUACAUCUGUAAAACGUUGAAAAACAGUGGAGGGUUCUGUUGAUAGCUUUAAAAAGUCACAAUCCAGGGUUUAUAAGCUUCUAGACUCCAAAAAAAAUGAAGUACAGGCAUGUAAGACUACUUUUCUAAAUGUUCUUGGCUAUAAAAAUGAUUCUGUUUUAACAGAACUAGUAAAAAACAUGAACAGUAAUUUUUGUAUGUCAUCUGUUACUGAAAAUAGAGGAUAGAAAAAAAUUUAAAAAUGUAUACUCAAGGAUAUUGUAGCUGAUCAUAUACGGCU
Long non-coding RNA from Aphis gossypii (cotton aphid), 1089 nucleotides. RefSeq lists it as uncharacterized. The transcript is spliced from 5 exons. The record is from RefSeq and is a predicted model, not a curated record. NCBI's taxonomy places the organism in Eukaryota, Metazoa, Arthropoda, Insecta, Hemiptera, Aphididae.